GUGGGGCUGAGAGCUUAUUCCACGGGUCUAUAACUCUAAUGGCAAACCAGUUUCCCUUCAUUGUGGUUCGCCAAUGGUCUGGUUUACUCAGCUUGUAGGAGUGGCCCCGCAGUCGCACUCACGGUCAACGGCACUGCCCAUACACUUAGUCCACCCUGGCGGGGACCUCACCAAUGACCUCCAUGAAAACAGGGUCCCAGACAAGCCAGUUGGUCUGAAGGCCAUGGCGCUGACUGACCACAUCAGGGUGUGCUGGCAGCCCCCCGCACAGCACAAUGUGAUGCUGUGCGGCUACACCAUUGCCUGGGACCAAGGCGUGGCGGACAUCUACUCCAAGAUCGUGGACAGCAAGCAGCACGGUUACAUCAUUGAUAAGCUGGAACCCAACAUGGAGUUUGUGAUAAGCCUGCGAGCCUUCAACAACGUGGGUGACGGGCAACCGGUGUACCAGCAAGUCCGCACCCAGCCAGAGGAGGAGGAGGUGGUGGCACCCACGCUGGACCCGGCGGUGUGGGUGAAGGCCGUGGUGCUGACGCCCUUCACCGUGGUGCUGCAGUGGGCGGACACCAUGCUGAGCCAGAACCAGUACAACAGCUGCACCACCUUCUCGUCCUCAUCCUCCAGCCGCUACGUCAACGCCACGGAUGUGACCUGCCUCAUUGACAGCCUCAAGCCAUCAACAGUGUGUGAGUUUGCUGUGAAGACCAUCAGGGUGAGACCACAGUGCUGGAAGCCUUCGUUCUUCUUUCAGUAAAUAUUCACUCAGUCCUGCAACACUUCUCAAGGAAAUCCUGCACAGCUGAAUCCUUGCUGUGAUGAGGCACAGAGAAAUUAUGACUCAUAGGGUUUGGUGUGAGUCCCCCUAUAGCCUGGUGGCCUCCAACACCCUGCUGGUGGCCCGGCCGUCCUGGCCAGCCGUCCACCACCACCUUCACCCGGCAGCCGUCCACCACCACCUUCACCCGGCAGCCGCUGCAGCGGAACAAUGGGAGGAUCACAGGCUACGUGAUAUUCCUCACCACGGACCAAACUGUCGGUGACUGGGUGAUGGGGGAAGUGACGGGGGACUGGCUCACCCUCACCGUCCAUGGACUGACGCCUUCAAGGAAGUAUUUGCACAAGAUGCACUCUCACAAUGUCAAAGGUUUUGGUCCAUUCUCCUCCGUGGAAAGCUUCACGACUCUUCCAGCUGUUGACAAGAGCAUCGGUGAGCCCCCAGGCUGGUGUGUGGAGCGAGAGGCCUGAUUGUGCUGGUGAUCGCUGGCGUGGCAGGAGCCAUGACCAGCUGGGGGCCUUCUUGGCCACCACACUGUACUGCCGCGGGUCAAGGCGGAGCCCAGGCCAAGCAUUGUUGUUGGCGGCAGCUGCAGCGAGAGCAACAAGCCUGGCGUCCAGCCUCCAGACCUGUGGAUCCAUCACGGCCACUUGGAGCUGAAGAACUUUGACAAGGGUGAGCGCAGCAACUCCCCCAACCACGCCUCCAUCAUCCAGCACACAGGAGUCGCGUCACAUCACAAUGGGACCGAAAAAGGACGAGAAGGGACAAGACAAGAAGAAAAGAUCUUCUGCUGCCUCUCCUGAUGAUGAUGAGCAACAAGAAGACACUCAAGAACAACCUGCCAAGAAAGUGAAGGGACGAUCCAAGAAGAGGUCAUUGUCUGCUACCGGGGAGACACCCCCUCCUCCAGCCCUCUUGCGUCACCAAUCCACUUGGACACAGGAGCCCCAACCUGGUCAUGAUGAUGCUGGGCCUCAGCAUCACCAGACCUUGGGAGCAGCAGCCCAGUGCCAACACCAGGCCACAGGACCCCAGGCUGCCCAGCCCACUGCCAGUGCCGGGGAUCUUCAGACCCAUCUCCAGCCUUAGGGAAUGGAGGGCGGAGGGCUGCAGUGGCGGUGGCGGCUAUAGUAAUGUGUCAGCAGUAUUUUUUUUCUGCCUCUCGGUGUGGUAGUCUUUCUUGGUGGUGGGUCCCGUUGGCCAGCGCCAGCUCUCUAUAGUGCAGGGAAGUGUUUAUAGUGGCGCCACCUUGCCUGGCUCACCUUUGAUCCCCUCUUUUAGAGAGAGAAUCUUGAGUCUGGGUUGACAGGCAUCCACCAGGACAGCAUGUGGGUAUGUCCUAGCCUACAGCAGCGGCAGCCUUUGGUCAGUGGCCUGGUGGUGGGCCCGCGGUGUUUUCAGUGGCAGGGUUGUAAUUCCUGGGGCUGGAUAGAGAUUCCCAAAUAUCUUCUGCAUCGGCCUCAAAAUGCCCCGAAGAGUGCUGGGUUUUCAAAAAUUUCCCCCCACCUGAGGAUGCCUUCUAGACCCCAAAAAUAUCUGCCAAAAUUAGUCCUGAGUGGUGGUGGUGGUGUUGAAAGUGUUAAUGACAGUGAUGAGAAGCAUUGUUAGGGGUGCUGGUGUGUAGUGAUGAAGUGGUGGUGAUGUCAGUCUGUGGUGGUGUUGAAAACUAGCCUCUUUUAAACGGUGAUGAGUGGUGGUGAACGGUGUUUACUGUACUGGUGGUGAUGAAAAUUGAUGUUGUUGGCCUUUGUGGAGGUGUUGAUGGCAGUGGUGAUGAAAUAUAGGCAUUUUUAGAGGUUCUGGUGUUGAUGGUGGAGGUACUUGUGUUGGUGGUGAUGAAAAUUGGUGUUAUAGCCCUGGUGGUGAUCUCUAUACCUAAUGGUGUUAUAAAUAUGCAUCUUUAGUGGUGUGGCAGUGUUGAAGGCAGUGGUGAUGAAAAAUUGGUGUCUAGUGGUGUUGUGUGGUGGUGAAACAUGCAUCAACACCAUUUUUGUCCAUUCCAAAAUUUCAUGUCUAUCUAUUGCAGUUCAUUUUUAUUUUUAUUACUUCAACAGUAAAUUAGAAUGCUCAAGGUAAUGGAAAGGAAUGAAGAAAGUGAGAGACAGGAGAGGAUAAAAAUAGCUUAAUCUAUCUAUCCCACUCUACUCUGCAAGGUGUACAAUAGGGAACAUAGUCUUUCAUUACACCCAGUCCUUCAGCUCUUAGGGAUGGCCCCAGAGUCCAGUCUUAGCAGUUAAGUCCCCUAAGUCUUGUUCAUGUUAUUUUGGUGCCAGUGAGUGCCUGCUUACAGUGCCAAAGUGACCCUUUCUGUCCCUUCCCUUCCUAGCUCAUGGGAAGGUUGGUGAGAGAGAGAGAGAGAGAGAGAGAGAGAGAGAGAGAGAGAGAGA
This is an RNA transcript of Eriocheir sinensis (Chinese mitten crab), 3165 nucleotides long. It is a transcript of the gene named neogenin-like, with no coding region annotated. NCBI's taxonomy places the organism in Eukaryota, Metazoa, Arthropoda, Malacostraca, Decapoda, Varunidae. The record is from RefSeq and is a predicted model, not a curated record. The transcript is spliced from 11 exons.